UCAAACUUGGUCAUUUAGAGGAAGUAAAAGUCGUAACAAGGUUUCCGUAGGUGAACCUGCGGAAGGAUCAUUAAAAAAUCUUUUUGAGCCGCAAGGCUCUGUUAUUUUGUGCAAGGUUUUUGUGUGCGUGUGAUGUGGAUGGAUGUGUGCGUUAUUAUGUGCGCACGUCUGUCGGCGUCGUGCACGCACGCAAUUUAUUAUCACCGUUACAACGUAAUAAGAGGAAGUAUGUACAUGCAAAUGUUAAUACAAUAAUCACUAAACAACUUUCAACAGUGGAUCUCUCGGCUCUUGCAUCGAUGAAGAACGCAGC
This 313-nucleotide unclassified non-coding RNA is filed under the name uncultured fungus. RNAcentral's name for it is "partial contains small subunit ribosomal RNA, internal transcribed spacer 1, and 5.8S ribosomal RNA". The stretch from base 1 to 73 matches the Rfam family "Eukaryotic small subunit ribosomal RNA", at positions 1759 to 1831 of the family's 1831-position model. Lineage: Eukaryota; Fungi. The record is from RNAcentral.